UACGUAGUUGGCAAGCGUUGUCCGGAUUUACUGGGCGUAAAGAGCGCGCAGGCGGUCGUUCAAGUCGAGUGUGAAAGCCCCCGGCUCAACUGGGGAGGGUCAUUCGAUACUGAUCGACUCGAAGGCAGGAGAGGGUAGUGGAAUUCCCGGUGUAGUGGUGAAAUGCGUAGAUAUCUGGAGGAAUACCGGUGGCGAAGGCGGCAUCCUGGACCGACAUUGACGCUGAGGAGCGAAAGCCAGGGGAGCAAACGGG
This 253-nucleotide ribosomal RNA is filed under the name uncultured bacterium. RNAcentral's name for it is "partial 16S ribosomal RNA". It matches the Rfam family "Bacterial small subunit ribosomal RNA", at positions 524 to 776 of the family's 1533-position model. The record is from RNAcentral.